RNAcentral lists this ribosomal RNA (253 nucleotides) under uncultured bacterium. Its description in RNAcentral is "partial 16S ribosomal RNA". It matches the Rfam family "Bacterial small subunit ribosomal RNA", at positions 524 to 776 of the family's 1533-position model. The record is from RNAcentral.
UACGGGGGGGGCAAGCGUUGUUCGGAAUUACUGGGCGUAAAGGGCUCGUAGGUGGCCAACUAAGUCAGACGUGAAAUCCCUCGGCUUAACCGGGGAACUGCGUCUGAUACUGGAUGGCUUGAGUUCGGGAGAGGGAUGCGGAAUUCCAGGUGUAGCGGUGAAAUGCGUAGAUAUCUGGAGGAACACCGGUGGCGAAGGCGGCAUCCUGGACCGAUACUGACGCUGAGGAGCGAAAGCGUGGGGAGCAAACAGG